Molecule: non-coding RNA, 32 nt
Organism: Sarcophilus harrisii (Tasmanian devil)
Lineage: Eukaryota; Metazoa; Chordata; Mammalia; Dasyuromorphia; Dasyuridae
Source: Rfam
UCUGGGGUGUACAGAGAAGCUAUCACCUCAGA